CAGUAGCCGCGGUAAUACAGAGGGUGCGAGCGUUAAUCGGAUUUACUGGGCGUAAAGCGUGCGUAGGCGGCUUCUUAAGUCGGAUGUGAAAUCCCUGAGCUUAACUUAGGAAUUGCAUUCGAUACUGGGAAGCUAGAGUAUGGGAGAGGAUGGUAGAAUUCCAGGUGUAGCGGUGAAAUGCGUAGAGAUCUGGAGGAAUACCGAUGGCGAAGGCAGCCAUCUGGCCUAAUACUGACGCUGAUGUACGAAAGCAUGGGGAGCAAACAGGAUUAGAUACCCGCGUAGUCCCUGUCUCUUAUAC
RNAcentral lists this ribosomal RNA (301 nucleotides) under uncultured bacterium. Its description in RNAcentral is "partial 16S ribosomal RNA". It matches the Rfam family "Bacterial small subunit ribosomal RNA", at positions 509 to 807 of the family's 1533-position model. The record is from RNAcentral.